Molecule: RNase P RNA, 310 nt
Filed under: Candidatus Neoflavobacterium equi
Lineage: Bacteria; Pseudomonadati; Bacteroidota; Flavobacteriia; Flavobacteriales; Flavobacteriaceae
Description: RNase P RNA component class A
Rfam family: Bacterial RNase P class A
About the family: Ribonuclease P (RNase P) is a ubiquitous endoribonuclease, found in archaea, bacteria and eukarya as well as chloroplasts and mitochondria.
Source: RNAcentral
ACCGCAGACCGCCUUAUCGCUGGUUGUAAAAUCAGAGGAAAGUCCGGACACCAAAGAGUAGCAUAGCGGGUAACGCCCGUCACUAGAUUCGUCUAGUCGGACAAGUGCAACAGAAAGUAUGUACAGGUAAUGCUGUAGUGAAACCAGGUAAACUCUAUGCGGUGAAAUGCCAUGUAUAUCAACAUUUAAGGGCUGCUCGUCCGUUGUUGAGGGGUAGGCAGAUGGAGCUAUUUAGUAAUUUUUAGCCUAGAUAAAUGAUAAGGCCUCAAUUUAUUGAGGACAGAAUCCGGCUUAUAGGUCUGCAUUUUUU